RNAcentral lists this ribosomal RNA (253 nucleotides) under uncultured bacterium. RNAcentral describes it as "partial 16S ribosomal RNA". It matches the Rfam family "Bacterial small subunit ribosomal RNA", at positions 524 to 776 of the family's 1533-position model. The record is from RNAcentral.
UACGUAGGGUGCGAGCGUUAAUCGGAAUUACUGGGCGUAAAGCGUGCGCAGGUGGCCGCGCAAGUCGAGUGUGAAAUCCCCGGGCUUAACCUGGGAACUGCGUUUGAAACUGGGAGGCUAGAGUGUGGAAGAGGGGGGUGGAAUUCCAGGUGUAGCAGUGAAAUGCGUAGAGAUCUGGAGGAACACCGAUGGCGAAGGCAGCCCCCUGGGCUGACACUGACGCUCAUGCACGAAAGCGUGGGGAGCAAACAGG